RNAcentral lists this unclassified non-coding RNA (142 nucleotides) under uncultured Mortierella. RNAcentral describes it as "sequence contains ITS1". The record is from RNAcentral. Lineage: Eukaryota; Fungi; Mortierellomycota; Mortierellomycetes; Mortierellales; Mortierellaceae.
UAAUAAGUGUUUUAUGGCACUUUUUAAAUCCAUAUCCACCUUGUGUGCAAUGUCAGUCAAUUUUCUUUAUGAAGAUUGACCAAACAUCAACCAUAUCUUAACUCUUUGUCUGAAAAAUAUUAUGAAUAAACAAUUCAAAAUA